CUCAACCCCUCGAAAAGACUGUCUAGAACUCUAUUCACUCUCUCAGCAACCAAAGUCUCAACUGAGAUUGCGAUCUCAAUCUCAGCCAUCUCAAUCUUUCAAACUUAAAAAUACUUACCCAAACCUAGUCUCUCCUUCAACCCCGAGAAUCCUUUCCAUUCGCGUCCGGCUUAAUAGAGUUUUUCAACAACCACUCAAGAGAUUAGAGGAAGCUUGACUAUUCUGUUUUCGAUCGGGUUAGUGGCCAGCCGGGAUUCAGACUUGUGCUGUUGCUUCUUAUAGCAUUGCUGUUGGAGGUGAGAAAAGCUUGAAGCUUUAUUGUGAAUUUUGCUGUGUAAGGUUUUAGUUUUCGUAGUAUUUUGUACUGAUAUGUGACAUUAUAAGAGAGUUUGGGUCUUACUUGUUGCUUUGUUGGUCUCUUAGCUUUGGUUCCUCUCAGAAAGGUACGUUAUUAAAUUGUUUGUUACUUUAUGGCUUAAUUGGUGAUUGAUAAGCUUAUUUUUGUGAUUCUAUAACUAUUGGGGCUUAAUUGGUUAUGGGUGUAAUUCUAGGUUAUUCAAUGGGAUUUCUUGUUUGGGCAUAUUAGCUUUAGAUUGGUAUAUUGACUAUAUUCUACAAGCUGUUGGUGCAACUGUAUAUCAUUUGCAAACAGAUUAAUAAAAGAGGCGAUACAGUGGAUGAGAAGAUCAAGAAGCUUGAUUUUGAACUUAAUAGAUACAAAGAGCAUAUCAAGAAGACAAGGCCUGACGCUGCACAUGAAGCUAAUAAGGCGAGAGCGAUGAGGGUUCUCAAGCAAAAAUGAAUCAUUGGGACGUCCUCUUCAUAAUGCUAUUGUUUGGAUGGUUGGUAGUUGGUACAGCUCUAUUUACAGUGCAAGUGUGUUUGGUAUCUCAGCGGAGUCAAUGAAGUUGUCUUCUGUUUGAUAAGGACCAACUAAAGUUUCAGAUGGAGAAGGCCGAGAAGGAUAGAUGUAAAGUUCGGGCCGAAUGGGAAAAGUAUGUUUCUCC
This 1007-nucleotide long non-coding RNA is filed under the name Rosa chinensis. Its description in RNAcentral is "sRNA RchiOBHm_Chr5g0064101". Lineage: Eukaryota; Viridiplantae; Streptophyta; Magnoliopsida; Rosales; Rosaceae. The record is from RNAcentral.